Molecule: long non-coding RNA, 1227 nt
Filed under: Pogona vitticeps (central bearded dragon)
Lineage: Eukaryota; Metazoa; Chordata; Lepidosauria; Squamata; Agamidae
Description: lncRNA (ENSPVIG00000019795.1)
Source: RNAcentral
AUGCUGCUGGGUUCUGGCUGCCAGGAUCCAUCCGGGUCAUCCCGCAUCGUUUGGGCCGACGUGGUGUCCCGGAGGCCCCAGAGCGAGGCUCGAGGGAAAGUGGCGGCCCAAGGAAUGCCAAAGUAUGACCGAAUCUCGGGGGCAUCUCCAAAGGUCCAUCUCAGGAGUGAGGGCAAAAGGAUUGAGGCCACACCACCCCUCCGUCCUCAGCAGGAGAUGUUCCCAGAAGACAGAAGAGAGUUACUUCCACUAAGAUCCCGCUUACUUGAUCCACUGCUCCCCGCACCCCAAAAUUUAGCUUCUCCAGAGAAACGGGCCGUCAAAACCAUCUGGGUUGACCUGUGGCCCCUUCUGGAGAAGGUGGCAGAGCCCUUAGGUUCACGGCAGGGGGAAAUGUCAGAGAGGGUCCCCCAGGGAGGUGGAUGUUCUUCAUCCAACCGUGAGAGGUCUAGCGGAGAAGAUCUCGAGGAUCCGGGGGUAAGAGGCUUCCUUGGUGGAAGAAGAGAAGAUAUCACAGACGGAGCAGGAGAAGACCACAUUGAUGGGGGAAAUGGAGGCAUCACGGAUGGUAAACACCCUGUUGGUGGAAAACAUGAAGGUCCUAGGGGUCGAGGAGAAGAUCUCCAUGGUGGAAGAAGUCCCCACACUCUAAGGAGGACUUCCAUCCGUCCCAAGGCUGAAGUCCUUGUUAAGGACCCCUCUUGGCCUUCAAGGACGGACUCCCUCGAAACACCCAGCCUUGACCCAAAAAGCAUCAAGACCUCGGAAGAACCCCAGCCGUGGCUUCUGAGGAACUGCUCGCCGGCGGUGGUGACGCUUCAGCCCCGGCUCAGCUCUCCGGUUUUCCUCCCCAGGAUUCUCCCAAAACUCCCACUGCAGGCGGAAGCAGAGAGUUCUGCCGGACGACCGGCUGCUCCUUCCCCGGAUUUCCAUCUUCCCACUCGGCUCCUGCUGCGGAAGCUAGAGGAAACCACGACCAGCAAACACCAUCUUGUGAUCGUAAAAAUCCUGAGCGCUUUGCAUGAGGAACUCUCAACAAACCACCCAAACGCAAGAGAUCUCGGGGAGAAACUGAGUCCGUCCCUCGAACUUCCGCGGAUCCGGCCUCAGCAAAGCGGCCCAGCGGAUGGUGCGCAGGAAGCGCCAGGCACCUCUUUUUCUACGAGGAAAAAAUGCUUUCCUUGGAAGUUCCACAAGUCAAGCGACGGAGUAGACGUUCUCCAGUAG